UACAGAGGCCUCGAGCGUUAGGCGGAAUCACUGGGCUUAAAGCGUGUGUAGGCGGGUCGUUAAGUACCUUGUGAAAUCCCAUGGCUCCACCAUGGAACGGCUGGGUAUACUGGCGAUCUUGUGCAACCUAGGGGCGAGCGGAACAGAUGGUGGAGCGGUGAAAUGCGUAGAUAUCAUCUGGAACGCCAAUGGUGAAAACAGCUCGCUGGGGGUUUGCAGACGCUGAGACACGAAAGCCAGGGGAGCGAACGGG
RNAcentral lists this ribosomal RNA (253 nucleotides) under uncultured bacterium. RNAcentral's name for it is "partial 16S ribosomal RNA". It matches the Rfam family "Bacterial small subunit ribosomal RNA", at positions 524 to 776 of the family's 1533-position model. The record is from RNAcentral.